AUGCCACAAAGAAACUUAGUAACGAACCUGUUCUAGAAUGUAUGGUUGCACAUCAUGGAAGCAGUUGUCAGCGCUUUGACAAAUGGACCUGCAGCUGUCAGACAGCUGUGUGCUGCACUGGUUGCUCAUCUACAGAGGGUGUAGAGAUGCCUCAGACACCCUGGUCUAAGUCACUUUUCAGAACCUCUCCCAUGUGCAGGGCUGUAGUGCCCAGCAUGAUUCUCUUGUGGAGAGCCGGCCUUUGCACCUUCAUGUGCCUCAGAAAAAGUGGGGAAUAAGCAGCCAUCAGCAACACGAAGCUUGCAGUAUCCACAUGGAAUCAUAGUAUCCUUUAGGUUGGAAAAGACAUACUGAAACCAGAACUGACUCAGGAGAUGUUAACGGCCACUAGAAGAUGUCUUCCAAUAAGUGUGAUCUGGAAAGAUAAAAGGGCUCACUCUUUGACCUUCUUCACAGACAAGAAGGUCUUGUGCCUGGGUUCAAUAAAAAGGUGCAAAAAUCUGAUGGCUAUAAUUCU
This 517-nucleotide long non-coding RNA is filed under the name Numida meleagris (helmeted guineafowl). RNAcentral's name for it is "lncRNA (ENSNMEG00000013355.1)". The record is from RNAcentral. Lineage: Eukaryota; Metazoa; Chordata; Aves; Galliformes; Numididae.